Molecule: long non-coding RNA, 387 nt
Filed under: Homo sapiens (human)
Lineage: Eukaryota; Metazoa; Chordata; Mammalia; Primates; Hominidae
Description: HSALNT0379900
Source: RNAcentral
GGCAGUUCAGGGGGUAUUCUGGUUGCCUUACCCAGCUCUGAAGUCUGUCAGCCUCUUCAGAUGUCACUUGCCCUGUGGUAAGGAAGUGUAGUUGGCAGCUGGUGCAGUGGCAAGAAGAGAAAGGAGGUUCCCCAAGACAGAAAUAUCUCAGCAGACCGUGAUCAUGGGCUACAUUCUCCAUACCAGCUUCAUAGCUCCAGUGAGAAAAUAAAUUCCUGCACCCAGGAGACGUGGAGUAAGAGAUACAGCUGACCUUGACCACAUUUCUUACUUCCAAGAAGAUUGUAGCAAUAAUUCAGUGCAGUCUUCAGGGAACACCAAGGCCUGUUUGAUUUUCCAAGUAUCAACAAGUGGAGUUGACAAGAGUGACAAAUGGUCAGAGCAAAG